Molecule: long non-coding RNA, 590 nt
Organism: Spinacia oleracea (spinach)
Lineage: Eukaryota; Viridiplantae; Streptophyta; Magnoliopsida; Caryophyllales; Amaranthaceae
Exons: 3
Source: RefSeq, a predicted model, not a curated record
AAAGAUACAGAUUAGUAUACUCCAAGAACAAUAAUCCCAGAAACACAAAAGUUUCAUUUUUAGAAAUAAUAACUCAUAUCCUGUCACCAAAAGAACAGAAAAGAAAAGAAAGAACAGAAAAAAGGGGUUCAGCAUGAACGCCAUGAGUCUCGUGACGUAUUAGACAACCAAUGAAUCUAUGAUCCCCCCUCAAAAAUGACAGCUAUGUCCUGCAUCUGGUAUUGCCAAGUAAAAGUAGACCCUCUGGUCAAUCUUAUGACAGUUGAGAAAGUUCCUGAUUCUACAUAUGACAUGAUUGGUGGUCUUGACCAACAAAUCACAAGAUUAAAGAGGUGAUUGAGCUACCAAUAAAACAUCCAGAAUAGUUUGAGAGUCUUGGAAUUGCUCAACCAAAGGGUCAAUAACGAUAGAAUCAAGAAGUACCUGGACGUUUAAGAAAUUAUUUACCUGGGAAUUAGUGACAUAUACAUCUGCAGCGGAAUAAAGUGAAGCAACACGUGUUGUUGUUGGACUCCACAGGAUGGAUUUUGACAAGUUCGAAUGCUUUGACAAAAAUUCAAGUAUUUCUUUCACAUAUGUCACCUUGUUGC